This 2358-nucleotide ribosomal RNA is filed under the name Enterobacter hormaechei subsp. xiangfangensis. RNAcentral's name for it is "partial 23S ribosomal RNA". It matches the Rfam family "Bacterial large subunit ribosomal RNA", at positions 395 to 2737 of the family's 2925-position model. Lineage: Bacteria; Pseudomonadati; Pseudomonadota; Gammaproteobacteria; Enterobacterales; Enterobacteriaceae. The record is from RNAcentral.
UGCUGUGAACUCGAAGAGUAGGGCGGGACACGUGGUAUCCUGUCUGAAUAUGGGGGGACCAUCCUCCAAGGCUAAAUACUCCUGACUGACCGAUAGUGAACCAGUACCGUGAGGGAAAGGCGAAAAGAACCCCGGCGAGGGGAGUGAAAAAGAACCUGAAACCGUGUACGUACAAGCAGUGGGAGCCUCUUUAUGGGGUGACUGCGUACCUUUUGUAUAAUGGGUCAGCGACUUAUAUUCUGUAGCAAGGUUAACCGUAUAGGGGAGCCGAAGGGAAACCGAGUCUUAACUGGGCGUUAAGUUGCAGGGUAUAGACCCGAAACCCGGUGAUCUAGCCAUGGGCAGGUUGAAGGUUGGGUAACACUAACUGGAGGACCGAACCGACUAAUGUUGAAAAAUUAGCGGAUGACCUGUGGCUGGGGGUGAAAGGCCAAUCAAACCGGGAGAUAGCUGGUUCUCCCCGAAAGCUAUUUAGGUAGCGCCUCGUGAACUCAUCUUCGGGGGUAGAGCACUGUUUCGGCUAGGGGGCCAUCCCGGCUUACCAACCCGAUGCAAACUACGAAUACCGAAGAAUGUUAUCACGGGAGACACACGGCGGGUGCUAACGUCCGUCGUGAAGAGGGAAACAACCCAGACCGCCAGCUAAGGUCCCAAAGUCAUGGUUAAGUGGGAAACGAUGUGGGAAGGCACAGACAGCCAGGAUGUUGGCUUAGAAGCAGCCAUCAUUUAAAGAAAGCGUAAUAGCUCACUGGUCGAGUCGGCCUGCGCGGAAGAUGUAACGGGGCUAAACCAUGCACCGAAGCUGCGGCAGCGACACUAUGUGUUGUUGGGUAGGGGAGCGUUCUGUAAGCCGUUGAAGGUGUGCUGUGAGGCAUGCUGGAGGUAUCAGAAGUGCGAAUGCUGACAUAAGUAACGAUAAAGCGGGUGAAAAGCCCGCUCGCCGGAAGACCAAGGGUUCCUGUCCAACGUUAAUCGGGGCAGGGUGAGUCGACCCCUAAGGCGAGGCCGAAAGGCGUAGUCGAUGGGAAACAGGUUAAUAUUCCUGUACUUGGUGUUACUGCGAAGGGGGGACGGAGAAGGCUAUGUCAGCCGGGCGACGGUUGUCCCGGUUUAAGCAUGUAGGCGGAGGUUCCAGGUAAAUCCGGUACCUUUUAACGCUGAGGUGUGAUGACGAGGCACUACGGUGCUGAAGUGAUAAAUGCCCUGCUUCCAGGAAAAGCCUCUAAGCAUCAGGUAACACGAAAUCGUACCCCAAACCGACACAGGUGGUCAGGUAGAGAAUACCAAGGCGCUUGAGAGAACUCGGGUGAAGGAACUAGGCAAAAUGGUGCCGUAACUUCGGGAGAAGGCACGCUGAUAUGUAGGUGAAGUCCCUGCGGACGGAGCUGAAAUCAGUCGAAGAUACCAGCUGGCUGCAACUGUUUAUUAAAAACACAGCACUGUGCAAACACGAAAGUGGACGUAUACGGUGUGACGCCUGCCCGGUGCCGGAAGGUUAAUUGAUGGGGUUAGCGGCAACGCGAAGCUCUUGAUCGAAGCCCCGGUAAACGGCGGCCGUAACUAUAACGGUCCUAAGGUAGCGAAAUUCCUUGUCGGGUAAGUUCCGACCUGCACGAAUGGCGUAAUGAUGGCCAGGCUGUCUCCACCCGAGACUCAGUGAAAUUGAACUCGCUGUGAAGAUGCAGUGUACCCGCGGCAAGACGGAAAGACCCCGUGAACCUUUACUAUAGCUUGACACUGAACACUGGUCCUUGAUGUGUAGGAUAGGUGGGAGGCUUUGAAGCGUGGACGCCAGUCUGCGUGGAGCCAUCCUUGAAAUACCACCCUUUAAUGGCUGGUGUUCUAACGUAGACCCGUGAUCCGGGUUGCGGACAGUGUCUGGUGGGUAGUUUGACUGGGGCGGUCUCCUCCCAAAGAGUAACGGAGGAGCACGAAGGUUGGCUAAUCCUGGUCGGACAUCAGGAGGUUAGUGCAAUGGCAUAAGCCAGCUUGACUGCGAGCGUGACGGCGCGAGCAGGUGCGAAAGCAGGUCAUAGUGAUCCGGUGGUUCUGAAUGGAAGGGCCAUCGCUCAACGGAUAAAAGGUACUCCGGGGAUAACAGGCUGAUACCGCCCAAGAGUUCAUAUCGACGGCGGUGUUUGGCACCUCGAUGUCGGCUCAUCACAUCCUGGGGCUGAAGUAGGUCCCAAGGGUAUGGCUGUUCGCCAUUUAAAGUGGUACGCGAGCUGGGUUUAGAACGUCGUGAGACAGUUCGGUCCCUAUCUGCCGUGGGCGCUGGAGAAUUGAGGGGGGCUGCUCCUAGUACGAGAGGACCGGAGUGGACGCAUCACUGGUGUUCGGGUUGUCAUGCCAAUGGCA